GGGGUACGAGCGUAGGGUUCUAGCGAGCCCAACCUCCCACCCGUGUUUACUGUACCUUAGUUGCUUCGGCGGGCCCGCCAUUCAUGGCCGCCGGGGGCUCUCAGCCCCGGGCCCGCGCCCGCCGGAGACACCACGAACUCUGUCUGAUCUAGUGAAGUCUGAGUUGAUUGUAUCGCAAUCAGUUAAAACUUUCAACAAUGGAUCUCUUGGUUCCGGCAUCGAUGAAGAACGCAGCGAAAUGCGAUAACUAGUGUGAAUUGCAGAAUUCCGUGAAUCAUCGAGUCUUUGAACGCACAUUGCGCCCCCUGGUAUUCCGGGGGGCAUGCCUGUCCGAGCGUCAUUGCUGCCCAUCAAGCACGGCUUGUGUGUUGGGUCGUCGUCCCCUCUCCGGGGGGGACGGGCCCCAAAGGCAGCGGCGGCACCGCGUCCGAUCCUCGAGCGUAUGGGGCUUUGUCACCCGCUCUGUAGGCCCGGCCGGCGCUUGCCGAACGCAAAUCAAUCUUUUCCAGGUUGACCUCGGAUCAGGUAGGGAUACCCGCUGAACUUAAGCAUAUCAAGGG
Molecule: ribosomal RNA, 560 nt
Filed under: Aspergillus flavus
Lineage: Eukaryota; Fungi; Ascomycota; Eurotiomycetes; Eurotiales; Aspergillaceae
Description: eukaryotic LSU rRNA
Rfam family: 5.8S ribosomal RNA (bases 187-340)
Source: RNAcentral